GAGAGUCUCUCAUCGAGAAAUCUUGUUGUAUAUAUAGACAAAAGCAAGAGACACACGCUCGAGAAUGGCUGCAUUGGUGAGAGAAUCAGUCUUGAAGAACGAUGCCGAUGGCCCCAUCAAGGUGAAAGGCGGACUAGGAACUAACAGCUACUUCAAAAACUCCGUUUAUCAGAGAUUGGCUACGAAUGUUGUGAAGGACAUAAUUGAUGACGAAAUUACCAAGAAGCUAGACGUAAAAUCCUUCUUAUCAACUUCAAAUAAUACAAUUGUUCUUGCAGAUUUAGGAUGUGCUGUUGGUCCAAACACCUUUACUUCUAUGCAAGGAAUUAUAGACGUAAUAAAAAGGAAGUACCAAUCUCAAUGCCCUACUUCUGCAAUGCCUGAAUUUCAAGUUUUCUUUAAUGAUCAACCCUCAAACGAUUUCAAUACCCUCUUCAC
RNAcentral lists this unclassified non-coding RNA (438 nucleotides) under Hevea brasiliensis (rubber tree). Lineage: Eukaryota; Viridiplantae; Streptophyta; Magnoliopsida; Malpighiales; Euphorbiaceae. The record is from RNAcentral.